UUGAGGUUAAGUUAUUAAGGGCGCAUGGUGGAUGCCUUGGCACUAGGAGCCGAUGAAGGGCGUGACUAACUGCGAUAAGCUUCGGUAAGCUGUAAGUAAGCAAUGACCCGGAGAUUUCCGAAUGGGGAAACCCAAAACCGUGAGGUUUUAUCGCUAAGUGAAUUCAUAG
RNAcentral lists this ribosomal RNA (169 nucleotides) under Ligilactobacillus aviarius. Its description in RNAcentral is "partial 23S ribosomal RNA". It matches the Rfam family "Bacterial large subunit ribosomal RNA", at positions 1 to 169 of the family's 2925-position model. The record is from RNAcentral. Lineage: Bacteria; Bacillati; Bacillota; Bacilli; Lactobacillales; Lactobacillaceae.